GACGAACGCUGGCGGCGUGCCUAAUACAUGCGAGUAGAACGCUGAAGGAGGAGCUUGCUCUUCUGGAUGAGUUGCGAACGGGUGAGUAACGCGUAGGUAACCUGCCUGGUAGCGGGGGAUAACUAUUGGAAACGAUAGCUAAUACCGCAUAACAGUAGAUGUUGCAUGACAUUUGCUUAAAAGGUGCAAUUGCACCACUACCAGAUGGACCUGCGUUGUAUUAGCUAGUUGGUGGGGUAACGGCUCACCAAGGCGACGAUACAUAGCCGACCUGAGAGGGUGAUCGGCCACACUGGGACUGAGACACGGCCCAGACUCCUACGGGAGGCAGCAGUAGGGAAUCUUCGGCAAUGGACGGAAGUCUGACCGAGCAACGCCGCGUGAGUGAAGAAGGGUUUCGGAUCGUAAAGCUCUGUUGUAAGAGAAGAACGAGUGUGAGAGUGGAAAGUUCACACUGUGACGGUAUCUUACCAGAAAGGGACGGCUAACUACGUG
Molecule: ribosomal RNA, 495 nt
Filed under: uncultured bacterium
Lineage: Bacteria
Description: partial 16S ribosomal RNA
Rfam family: Bacterial small subunit ribosomal RNA
Source: RNAcentral